Molecule: long non-coding RNA, 1439 nt
Filed under: Androctonus crassicauda
Lineage: Eukaryota; Metazoa; Arthropoda; Arachnida; Scorpiones; Buthidae
Source: RNAcentral
AUAUAACUCAGAGAUGUUGAAGAAAAUAAAGAACAUUUUUUUUAUAUGACAAAAGUCUCACAAUGCAUUGCCUCUGCACUAUGUAAGUUGAUAGAAGCUAAUUAAAUAAUUUCAAAGUUGUUGAAACUUUCUGCACAGAGAUGCCUUUAUGUACCAAUGAUUAAGUAUGCUAAAAAAUGCAAGGAGUUUUCAAAUAUUCACUGCUGCUUUAACAAUACAAGGAACCAAUUUUUCUGCAGUAUCUAGCAAGAUCUAUUUCAUGUCCCUCACCAAAACAAUCUACAGGAAUGAGAUCAAGUGAUUGAGAUAGCCAAGAUACAGGCUUACCUUUUAAAUUCAAUGAUUAUAGAAUGUUGCAUUUAGGGAACCUUUGACAUCAAUGUCCAAUUAUGUGAAGGAUAUCAGCAUAUUAGAAUCACAGUUGCUCCUUGAUUGAAAUCUUAGAAAAUGUCUUAUGAGAAUUUUGUUUGACUUCACACAGAAAUACAAGAUAAUUACCAUCAUGAAGUAAGGCAUAUAAAAUAAGGCUAAAUCAGUUGAUCAUGUAUAAUUUCAGCCCACACAUUUUUUGCAAGUCUUUGCUAAUUACGCUGCACAACAGUUGUGUAGAUUUUCAAAAUUUCAAACAUAAUUUUUAAGACUGUUGAAAAUCCUCUUCUUGCUAAAAGAGUCUCAUCAGUAAACAAAACAGUUGUUGACAAUUAACAUUUAGGUACAGUCUGCUGCAGAAACCGUUUGCAAAAUUCUACAUACAAAGGAAAAUUCUGAGCCAACAAAUGAGAGGCAGAAGGUACAGUUGCAGAAAGAUUAUCUGCAUUGUAUUGAUUACAUCAUCUUGGAUGCUCUCUAUAAAAAUAUACUAUUUUUAAUGCAUCCAUUUGAGUUGUACCUUCUACAACUUAAAUGGUGCAUCCCCUUCUUGGGCAGAACAUUCCACAUAUAUUGACAUGGGAGAUGUUUAUGUGCAGCAUCCUUCUGGCUAUGGAGUAUAUGCUGGUGUUGGACUGUCUUCAAUACAUUGUAGCACAAUGGAUUGAGGAUAGCCUCCUCAAACUGAAUAGUUUGUAUAUUGCAAGGUCUCUCAAUUUCAGCAUUAGAUUACUCUCAGAGGUCCUGUUUUAUGAAUGUUGGAUAUCAAAUUUUUGAAUUGAAAUGUAAGCUGGCAACCUCUUCAGCAGAAACUAUUCUAUGUACAGAUAUAUACCAGAAGCAACAGUUGAACAGCUUUGUGAGGCCAGAAUUAUUUUAGAUCAAACUAUGGAUAGAGACUGGUAAAAAUAGUAUAUUUUUAUAGAGAGCAUUCAGGAUGAUGUAAUUAGUAUAAUGCAGGUAACUUUCUGCCACUUUGGAAUUCUAAUUAAGUAUUAAAAAAGGCAUAACAUUAACAUCUUGUAAUAUGAGUUAUAAAAUCUAUUUUGUUAUUUGAACUUUUAUUAGAC